Molecule: long non-coding RNA, 243 nt
Filed under: Capsicum annuum
Lineage: Eukaryota; Viridiplantae; Streptophyta; Magnoliopsida; Solanales; Solanaceae
Description: long non-coding RNA (CANN_LNC008297)
Source: RNAcentral
CAAUAAUGGAGCAGAAAAAGAGCAAUAAUGGAGCAGAUACGACAAAAUCAACGGAGACAAGAUACUGUACAAAAACAGAAUUAUUGUACAUUAUGUAACAAAAGUCUUUUGUACAUUUAUUAGGUUGUUGAAAUUAUUGACAACCUUUACGUAAAGAUAAGAAAAAGCUAUAGUUAGGAUUAGGAAAGUUAGGCCAUUAUGGCCACUUUUAUUGACUUUUGUUUUCUUAGUUUUUAGAAUUAG